Molecule: long non-coding RNA, 2631 nt
Filed under: Eucalyptus grandis
Lineage: Eukaryota; Viridiplantae; Streptophyta; Magnoliopsida; Myrtales; Myrtaceae
Description: long non-coding RNA (EGRA_LNC001541)
Source: RNAcentral
UCGAAUUUUAAGCGCGUCAUAAUUCUUAUUUUUAGGAUCAUGUCUCAUCGCUCGUCAAUUUAUUGACGGGUCCGAAAUUUCAAUAAAGAAAUUAUCGGAAGAAAAUUGAAGCCCAAAAGGAAAAGAUAAAAGGAAAAUUGAAAUAAGGAAUUAUGCAAUUCCUUUUCUUUUUCCUCUCUCUCUCCCUCUCUUUUCUUUUCUUUCUUUUCUCUCUUCUCUUUUCUUUCUCUCUCCUCUUCCCUUCCCCUUCGUGGGACUCCCCCACCGCCCACCUUUUCUCUCUCUUCCCUUUUGACUAGUCCAAGCUUAUCUUCUCUCUCCUCUCUCUUCUUUCUUCCCCCUCACGACAGAACCAGCUUUUCUUCUCCUUCCUUUCUUCGCAUGCGAACCAGGAGCUCGGAGACCGCAGCUCGCCGAAGCCGUCGCCGCUCGUCCCGCCGCCGCUCCGCCGCACCGCCGCUCGCGCCGCUCGCAGCCGUGCACUCCACCCGCGUCCGUCACCGCUGCCGCUCCUCCCUCCGCACGAAUCAGCCCUGUUUCGCCCCUGUUCCGCACCGACCAGCCCCCGUCCGGCCACCUCCGGCCACCGCCUAGCCUCGCCGGACCACCCCCGCAACCCCCUCGCCCUCCGCCGACUUCCCCUCGCCGCCCUAGCCGCCGGAGCAGCCCCGAUCGGCUCCGUCUAGCAGACCCACGGAAUGGGUUUCAGCAUCUUCGGGCUCGCUUUCGGGCCGUUUCCGGGCCCCAAACCCGAGCCGUGCUUUGGGAAGUUUCGUUCCUCGCGUCGCCCCCGUCGGAUUGAUCCGAUUUGCGCGUGAUUUGGUGAGUAAUCUCACUAAUCUCGGAUUAGUUGGCUAAUUAUGCUUUAAGGUUGGUUUAGUUUUAAUUAAUUAUGUUUAGGUUGUUAGAUUAGAAUAAAUUAGAAAUUAUUAGUCAAUUGUGAUACGAUUUAAAUAAAUUGAUUGUGCAAUUAACAAGUAGACGUGGUCUACUAUUUAUUGGAAGCAUCUCGGGAAUUUUCCGACCCCUAAUCGGGCUUCAAUUUGGCGAUUCGGGCCUGAGUGGGAUUAUUGGCAUUUAAAUAUUAUUUUUCGAAAUUAAUUAAAUAAUUAUUUAUUUUUCCGAAAAUUCAACUGAGAUGGUCCGGAACCGGAAAAUUAUGCUGAUGACCGUGGUGGAGUUCGUUUGUUUAAUCGGGCUUUAUUUUGAGCUAAAUUGGAUUUUUAAUGUUAAUUAUUUAAUUUUCGAAAUUAAUUAAUUAUUUAUUUAUUUCCCGAAAAUUCAACUGGGAUGGCCCGUAACCGGAAAUUUAUGCAGAUGAUCGUGGUGAAGUCCGUUUGUUUAAUUGGGCGUUAUUUUGAGCUAAAUGGAAUUUUUAAUAUUUAUAAAUUAAUUAUUUUCGGAAAUUGAAAUUGAGAUGGCCAACGACCGAAAUCUCGUGCUGAUUGUCGUGGCCCAGUCUGUUUAUUUAUUUGAGCUUUGAAUUGUGCCAAAUUGAAUUGAAUGUGGAAUUUAGGAUAUUUUCCUAAAUCAUUGUGGUUAAUUAUUUCGUUGAGAAACCAUUAAAUCUUGCAAGCGGUCGAGUGGGACCGUAAAGCCAUUAAAUCUUGCAAGGGGUCGAGUGGGACCGUAAAGCCAUUAAAUCUUGCAAGCGGUCGAGUGGGACCGUAAAGCCAUUAAAUCUUGCAAGCGGUCGAGUGGGACCGUAAAGCCAUUAAAUCUUGCAAGGGGUCGAGUGGGACCGUAAAGCCAUUAAAUCUUGCAAGCGGUCGAGUGGGACCGUAAAGCCAUUAAAUCUUGCAAGCGGUCGAGUGGGACCGUAAAGCCAUUAAAUCUUGCAAGGGGUCGAGUGGGACCGUAAAGCCAUUAAAUCUUGCAAGCGGUCGAGUGGGACCGUAAAGCCAUUAAAUCUUGCAAGCGGUCGAGUGGGACCGUAAAGCCAUUAAAUCUUGCAAGGGGUCGAGUGGGACCGUAAAGCCAUUAAAUCUUGCAAGCGGUCGAGUGGGACCCUAAAGCCAUUAAAUCUUGCAAGCGGUCGAGUGGGACCGUAAAGCCAUUGAAUCUUGAAAGUGGUCGAGUGGGACCGUAAAGCCAUUAAAUAUUGAAUGUUGCUGAGUGGGACUCUGAAUAGUGAUAGCGUGAAUGACCGGGAAAUGGUCAGGUUGACAUGUAAUCGACGAGGUCGAUUGAUCAUUGUUUUGAUUUGAUGUUGUGAAUUGAUUGACUGAAUGUGAAUGACCGUGAGUGGUCUUGUCAGCUUGUAAUCGACCAGGUCGAUUUGAUCGAUGCUUUGAUCGGUGAUACGAUUGCUUGAGUGCCUAUUGUGAAUUGUACUGACUUGCAGGUGGGAUCUGAUGCUAAGGUAUGUCUUCUGACCUAUGCGUGUUUAGGCAGCCUUUAGUAUAAUAGUUUACUAAUUGGGCUUAGUGGGGUAGAACUCGCUGAGACGUAGUCUCAUCCCAGUUUGGGGAAAACCAUUUCAGGACCCCGCUAAGGAGCUGAGGUGGAAGAGUUGGAGAAGGAUUUUUGGGAGAAGAAGACAAUCUUGAGAGGGGCUUUGAGUUUGGCCUGGAUGGGCUGAGAGUCUAUCUUCUUUUGAGAAUUCAUUUUGAUGUGAAUAGUUAUGAAGCG